RNAcentral lists this transfer RNA (85 nucleotides) under Verrucomicrobiota bacterium. Its description in RNAcentral is "Verrucomicrobia bacterium tRNA-Leu". It matches the Rfam family "tRNA". Rfam says of the family: Transfer RNA (tRNA) molecules are approximately 80 nucleotides in length. Their secondary structure includes four short double-helical elements and three loops (D, anti-codon, and T loops). Lineage: Bacteria; Pseudomonadati; Verrucomicrobiota. The record is from RNAcentral. RNAcentral also lists the same sequence under 1 other name.
GCGGAUAUGGUGGAAUUGGCAGACACGCUACUUUGAGGUGGUAGUGCCGCAAGGCGUGCAGUUUCAAGUCCUGCUAUCCGCACCA